This 796-nucleotide long non-coding RNA is filed under the name Pongo abelii (Sumatran orangutan). Its description in RNAcentral is "lincRNA". Lineage: Eukaryota; Metazoa; Chordata; Mammalia; Primates; Hominidae. The record is from RNAcentral.
ACAUGAACAAGAUUUUCUGAAAGACUGCUAUGGAGUCUGAGAAAAAAGUGUCAAAGAUUGAGGACAUGAGGAGGAAAGAACUGACAGAGGAGAUGAAGAAAGGUGAUCAGGAAGAGCCAUCAAAGUGUUAUCCUGGAAUUCAAGUGAAGACAGUGUUUCAAAGUGGAAAUGAACAGUGUCCUGUAACCCUCAGGUGAGACUAGAGUCAGAAUGCAGGCUUUUCUCAUUUGAAAUCUCAAGGUAAGUCCAGGUCCUUACCUCCACCUAAAAGUUCUGCCACCAAGGGACAUCUGCUCAUUAUCUUCUGUCCACACAUCAAAUGACUUCAAUGUGACCCCUGGAUGUUCUCCAAAGAGCUGAAAGGAAAUAAAUAUUCUUUCUUUAUCACCAAAUACUUCAACUGCAGAGUGGUUGUGCUACCAAGGCCUGAAACUUUGGAAAAACCUGCAUAACACAAAAUAUAUAUGCCACAGAGAGGAUCCAGAGAGCCCAUCUUCAGUCAGUUAUCUGUAUUUGCAUGUCAACUACAGCAUCAAGAAGCAUAGGCAUGGAUACUAAGGACCCCCUCUGUACACCAAAGCCAGUCCAAAGGACAGUGUGUCACUGUGAACUGUAAAUUCAUCUCUCUUCUUCAUCUUUUUUCUACCUACUUUAUGCUUUAUCUCUAAGUUGAGGCUGUUUAUGGCCUCAUCCUCAAUUACCUUGUCCCUCGUUACUCCCAGUUAAUGGAGAUUAAGCUUUGUAUCAUGACUUCCUAACUAAAACUGAAAUCACAAGACAUCACAUAAAUAAAGUG